GAUGAACGCUGGCGGCGUGCCUAAUACAUGCCAGUCGAGCGAACAGACGAGGAGCUUGCUCCUCUGACGUUAGCGGCGGACGGGUGAGUAACACGUGGAUAACCUACCUAUAAGACUGGGAUAACUUCGGGAAACCGGAGCUAAUACCGGAUAAUAUAUUGAACCGCAUGGUUCAAUAGUGAAAGACGGUUUUGCUGUCACUUAUAGAUGGAUCCGCGCCGCAUUAGCUAGUUGGUAAGGUAACGGCUUACCAAGGCAACGAUGCGUAGCCGACCUGAGAGGGUGAUCGGCCACACUGGAACUGAGACACGGUCCAGACUCCUACGGGAGGCAGCAGUAGGGAAUCUUCCGCAAUGGGCGAAAGCCUGACGGAGCAACGCCGCGUGAGUGAUGAAGGUCUUCGGAUCGUAAAACUCUGUUAUUAGGGAAGAACAAAUGUGUAAGUAACUAUGCACGUCUUGACGGGACCUAAUCAGAAAGCCACGGCUAACUACGUG
This 497-nucleotide ribosomal RNA is filed under the name uncultured bacterium. RNAcentral describes it as "partial 16S ribosomal RNA". It matches the Rfam family "Bacterial small subunit ribosomal RNA", at positions 28 to 507 of the family's 1533-position model. The record is from RNAcentral.